UACAGAGGUCCCGAGCGUUAAUCGGAAUUACUGGGCGUAAAGCGUGCGCAGGCGGUGAUGUAAGACAGUUGUGAAAUCCCCGGGCUCAACCUGGGAACUGCAUCUGUGACUGCAUCGCUGGAGUGCGGCAGAGGGGGAUGGAAUUCCGCGUGUAGCAGUGAAAUGCGUAGAUAUGCGGAGGAACACCGAUGGCGAAGGCAAUCCCCUGGGCCUGCACUGACGCUCAUGCACGAAAGCGUGGGGAGCAAACAGG
Molecule: ribosomal RNA, 253 nt
Filed under: uncultured bacterium
Lineage: Bacteria
Description: partial 16S ribosomal RNA
Rfam family: Bacterial small subunit ribosomal RNA
Source: RNAcentral